This 440-nucleotide ribosomal RNA is filed under the name uncultured cyanobacterium. RNAcentral describes it as "bacterial SSU rRNA". It matches the Rfam family "Bacterial small subunit ribosomal RNA", at positions 917 to 1359 of the family's 1533-position model. Lineage: Bacteria; Bacillati; Cyanobacteriota. The record is from RNAcentral.
GGGCCCGCACAAGCAGUGGAGCAUGUGGUUUAAUUCGACGAUACGCGAAGAACCUUACCAGGGUUUGACAUAGAUAUGGCGUAUACAGAGAUGUAUAUUCUCUUCGGAGCAUAUUUACAGGUGCUGCAUGGCUGUCGUCAGCUCGUGCCGUGAGGUGUUGGGUUAAGUCCCGCAACGAGCGCAACCCUUAUCAUCAGUUGCCAUCGGGUAAAGCCGGGGACUCUGUUGAGACUGCCGUCAUAAGGCGGAGGAAGGUGGGGAUGACGUCAAGUCAGCAUGGCCCUUACGUCCUGGGCUACACACGUGCUACAAUGGUCGGUACAGAGGGCAGCGAAGCCGCGAGGUGCAGCGAAUCCCAGAAAUCCGGCCUCAGUUCGGAUUGGAGGCUGCAACCCGCUCCAUGAAUCGGAAUUGCUAGUAACCGCAGAUCAGCUACGCUG